UGGGGAAUAUUGGACAAUGGGCGAAAGCCUGAUCCAGCCAUGCCGCGUGUGUGAAGAAGGUCUUCGGAUUGUAAAGCACUUUAAGUUGGGAGGAAGGGCAGUAAAUUAAUACUUUGCUGUUUUGACGUUACCGACAGAAUAAGCACCGGCUAACUCUGUGCCAGCAGCCGCGGUAAUACAGAGGGUGCAAGCGUUAAUCGGAAUUACUGGGCGUAAAGCGCGCGUAGGUGGUUCGUUAAGUUGGAUGUGAAAUCCCCGGGCUCAACCUGGGAACUGCAUUCAAAACUGACGAGCUAGAGUAUGGUAGAGGGUGGUGGAAUUUCCUGUGUAGCGGUGAAAUGCGUAGAUAUAGGAAGGAACACCAGUGGCGAAGGCGACCACCUGGACUGAUACUGACACUGAGGUGCGAAAGCGUGGGGGAGCAAAACAGGAUUAGAUACCCUGGUAGUCCACGCCGUAAACGAUGUCAACUAGCCGUUGGGAGCCUUGAGCUCUUAGUGGCGCAGCUAACGCAUUAAGUUGACCGCCUGGGGAGUACGGCCGCAAGGUUAAAAC
RNAcentral lists this ribosomal RNA (555 nucleotides) under uncultured bacterium. RNAcentral's name for it is "partial 16S ribosomal RNA". It matches the Rfam family "Bacterial small subunit ribosomal RNA", at positions 355 to 900 of the family's 1533-position model. The record is from RNAcentral.